GCCCAGCCGUAAACUUUUAUCUACACCUUAAAUCGCCCGGGAACUACGAGCUAAGCUUAAAACCCAAAGGACUUGACGGUACCCCAUAUCCCCCUAGAGGAGCCUGUCCUAUAAUCGAUAAUCCACGUUUAACCUCACCAUUUUUAGCUUAUCAGCCUGUAUACCUCCGUCGCCAGCUUACCACGUGAGCGCCAAUCAGUGAGCUUAAUGUUAUUUCACCAAUACGUCAGGUCAAGGUGCAGUAAAUGAAAUGGAAAGAGAUGGGCUACACUUUCUAUAUUAGAAGAAACGAAAAACUACUUAUGAAACCUAGUUAGAAGGCGGAUUUAGCAGUAAAAUGUAAUCAGCAUAUUCAUUUUAACUCGGCACUGGGGUGUGU
RNAcentral lists this ribosomal RNA (379 nucleotides) under Mertensophryne sp. HCL-2014. RNAcentral describes it as "partial 12S ribosomal RNA". It matches the Rfam family "Bacterial small subunit ribosomal RNA", at positions 794 to 1384 of the family's 1533-position model. Lineage: Eukaryota; Metazoa; Chordata; Amphibia; Anura; Bufonidae. The record is from RNAcentral.